CCUACGGGUGGCAGCAGUGGGGAAUCUUGCACAAUGGGGGGAACCCUGAUGCAGCGACGCCGCGUGAGCGAGGAAGUAUUUCGGUAUGUAAAGCUCUAUCAGCAGGGACGAAAAAAGACGGUACCUGACUAAGAAGCCCCGGAUAACUAUGUGCCAGCAGCAGCGGUAAUACGUAGGGGGCAAGCGUUAACCGGUUUUACGGGGUGUAAAGGGAGCGUAGACGGCAAGGCAAGCCCGAUGUGAAAGGGCAGGGCUCAACACUGUGCAUGCUUUUGGAACUGUGGAGCUAGAGUGCAGGAGAGGUAAGGGGAAUUCCUAGUGUAGCGGUGAAAUGCGUAGAGAUUAGGAGGAACACCAGUGGCGAAGGCGGCUUACUGGACUGUAACUGACGUUGAGGCUCGAAAGCGUGGGGAGCAAACAGGAUUAGAUACCCCAGUAGUC
This 441-nucleotide ribosomal RNA is filed under the name uncultured bacterium. Its description in RNAcentral is "partial 16S ribosomal RNA". It matches the Rfam family "Bacterial small subunit ribosomal RNA", at positions 338 to 795 of the family's 1533-position model. The record is from RNAcentral.